UGAUUAACAAGAGAAAAACAAGCAAGUUUACUAAGGCAUGCGGUCCACAGCACGUGGGAGAAACCUCAGUGAAACUCAAAGCGCAGUGGCUUAGAAGUCUGGCUCAUCUUCAACAAUACAUUUGUGGAGAAAUGACAGGACAAUGGAAAGCAAUUUUAGGUGUCCGAAGGCGAGAAACCGUGGGAAGAUAAAUAUAUGGGAAGAAACUAGUGGAG
RNAcentral lists this long non-coding RNA (215 nucleotides) under Homo sapiens (human). Its description in RNAcentral is "HSALNT0149171". The record is from RNAcentral. Lineage: Eukaryota; Metazoa; Chordata; Mammalia; Primates; Hominidae.